GAACAUGUGGUUUAUUCGAUGCAACGCGAAGAACCUUACCUACUCUUGACAUCCAGAGAACUUUCCAGAGAUGGAUUGGUGCCUUCGGGAACUCUGAGACAGGUGCUGCAUGGCUGUCGUCAGCUCGUGUUGUGAAAUGUUGGGUUAAGUCCCGCAACGAGCGCAACCCUUAUCCUUUGUUGCCAGCGGUCAGGCCGGGAACUCAAAGGAGACUGCCAGUGAUAAACUGGAGGAAGGUGGGGAUGACGUCAAGUCAUUUUGGUUCUUACCAGUAGGGCUACACACGUGCUACAAUGGCGCAUACAAAGAGAAGCGACCUCGCGAGAGCAAGCGGACCUCAUAAAGUGCGUCGUAGUCCGGAUUGGAGUCUGCAACUCGACUCCAUGAAGUCGGAAUCGCUAGUAAUCGUGGAUCAGAAUGCCACGGUGAAUACGUUCCCGGGCCUUGUACACACCGCCCGUCACACCAUGGGAGUGGGUU
RNAcentral lists this ribosomal RNA (480 nucleotides) under Enterobacter cloacae. RNAcentral's name for it is "bacterial SSU rRNA". It matches the Rfam family "Bacterial small subunit ribosomal RNA", at positions 935 to 1416 of the family's 1533-position model. The record is from RNAcentral. Lineage: Bacteria; Pseudomonadati; Pseudomonadota; Gammaproteobacteria; Enterobacterales; Enterobacteriaceae.